GUGCCAGCCGCCGCGGUAAAACGUAGGUGGCGAGCGUUAUCCGGAUUUACUGGGCGUAAAGGGUGUGCAGGCGGGCUGUUAAGUGGUGUAUGAAAGGUCUCGGCUCAACCGGGAUAAGUUAUGCCAGACUGGCAGUCUAGAGAGCGAGAGAGGGACGUGGAAUUCCGGGUGUAGUGGUGAAAUGCGUAGAGAUCCGGAGGAACCCCAGAGGCGAAGGCGGCGUCCUGGCUCGCAUCUGACGCUCAGACACGACAGCAUGGGGAGCGAACGGGAUUAGAAACCCCGGUAGUCC
RNAcentral lists this ribosomal RNA (292 nucleotides) under uncultured bacterium. Its description in RNAcentral is "partial 16S ribosomal RNA". It matches the Rfam family "Bacterial small subunit ribosomal RNA", at positions 505 to 796 of the family's 1533-position model. The record is from RNAcentral.